RNAcentral lists this ribosomal RNA (496 nucleotides) under uncultured bacterium. Its description in RNAcentral is "partial 16S ribosomal RNA". It matches the Rfam family "Bacterial small subunit ribosomal RNA", at positions 28 to 506 of the family's 1533-position model. The record is from RNAcentral.
GAUGAACGCUGGCGGCGUGCCUAAUACAUGCAAGUCGAGCGAACAGAUAAGGAGCUUGCUCCUUUGACGUUAGCGGCGGACGGGUGAGUAACACGUGGAUAACCUACCUAUAAGACUGGGAUAACUUCGGGAAACCGGAGCUAAUACCGGAUAACAUAUUGAACCGCAUGGUUCAAUAGUGAAAGGCGGCUUUGCUGUCACUUAUAGAUGGAUCCGCGCCGUAUUAGCUAGUUGGUAAGGUAACGGCUUACCAAGGCAACGAUACGUAGCCGACCUGAGAGGGUGAUCGGCCACACGGGAACUGAGACACGGUCCAGACUCCUACGGGAGGCAGCAGUAGGGAAUCUUCCGCAAUGGGCGAAAGCCUGACGGAGCAACGCCGCGUGAGUGAUGAAGGUCUUCGGAUCGUAAAACUCUGUUAUCAGGGAAGAACAAAUGUGUAAGUAACUGUGCACAUCUUGACGGUACCUGAUCAGAAAGCCACGGAUAACUACGU